Neolamprologus brichardi is the source of this 1281-nucleotide non-coding RNA. The record is from RefSeq and is a predicted model, not a curated record. NCBI's taxonomy places the organism in Eukaryota, Metazoa, Chordata, Actinopteri, Cichliformes, Cichlidae.
AGCACACACUUUGUCUAAUAAACUUACAUCUUUCAUUCUUUAUACAGAUUGAAGAGCUGUGGUUUGUCAGAGAUCAGCUGUGAUUAUCUGGCAGCAGCACUGACAUCCAACCCCUCCCAUCUGAGAGAGCUCAACCUGAGUGACAAUGAAAAGCUGCAGGAUUCAGGAGUGAAGCAGCUGUGUUGUUUUCUGGAGAGUCCAGGAUGUGAACUUGAAACUCUGAGAUUGAAGAGCUGUGGUUUGUCAGAGAUCAGCUGUGAUUAUCUGGGAGCAGCACUGAAGUCCAACCCCUCCAAUCUGAGAGAGCUGAACCUGAGCCUGAACAACUUGCAGGACACAGGAGUGAAGCAGCUGUGUUGUUUUCUGGAGAGUCCAGGAUGUGAACUUCAAACUCUGAGAUUGGAGGGCUGUGGUUUGUCAGAGAUCAGCUGUGAUUAUCUGGCAGCAGCACUGACAUCCAACCACUCCCAUCUGAGAGAGCUGAACCUAUGGAGAAAUGACCUGCAGAUUCCAGAUGUGAAGCAGCUGACUGAUCUUAAGGAUAGUCCAGACUGCAGACUGGAGACUCUGAGGUGGAGCUGAUGAUGGUAAACAGGACAGUAUCUGUGCUGAAAGAAAAUGAGCUGUGUCCUGAUGAUCCAGAGAGGUUCAAGCCACAGCAGCUUGUGUGUAGAGACGCUCUGACUGGGCCAUGUUACUGGGAGGUGGAGUGGAGAGCUUCAUCCAGCAGUGACCGACAGAGGAAUGAGAAGAAGCGCAGAUGACUGUCAGUGCUGCAGAGUGAACUGCUCUGACAACAGCUCCACUGUCAGACACAAUGUAGUCCAGUGUCAUCCCUGUGUGUCCCUCUGGAUCUGACAGAGGAUCAUCAGUGUAUCUGGACUGCUCUGCUGCUGCUUUGUCCUUGUACAGUCUCUGCAGAGUCUCUGUCUGACACUGGCUUCAGAUCCUCCUGGAUCAAACUCACCUGGAAAGGCUUUCAAACAACUUUGAAUAAUAAACAGAAUGUUUUUAUAAGAUAAAUAUGAUGUGUUCAUGUAUGUGUGCAGCACCUGGGCCCAGUCAGUAAUCUCCUCUCUGAGGUCAUAUAAGCUGGGGAUGAACUGGACAUUUGUUGUGAUUUGGCGCUAUAAUUGGCGAUAUAAAUAAAAUUGAAUUGAAUUGAAUUGAAUUGAUGUGAGAGGGUGGUUUUCUCUGGUGUCUCUGCUUUGUGUUCUAGGUAAUAAUAAUAAUAAUAAUACUUGAUUGCAUUUAUAUAGUGCUUUUCUAGGCACCCAAAGC